This 923-nucleotide small RNA is filed under the name Pongo abelii (Sumatran orangutan). Its description in RNAcentral is "processed transcript". The record is from RNAcentral. Lineage: Eukaryota; Metazoa; Chordata; Mammalia; Primates; Hominidae.
GGCGGCUCGCUCGCCUCAGCCCCAGCGCCUCUCGGCUACCCUCGGCCCAGGCCCGCAGCGCCGCCCGCCCUUGGCCGCCCCGACGCCGGCCUGGGCCGCGGCCGCAGCCCAGGGCUCGCGUAGGCGCCGACCGCUCCCGGCCCGCCCCCUAUGGGCCCCGGCUAGAGGCGCCGCCGCCGCCGGCCCGCGGAGCCCCGAUGCUGGCCCGGAGGAAGCCGGUGCUGCCGGCGCUCACCAUCAACCCUACCAUCGCCGAGGGCCCGUCCCCUACCAGCGAGGGCGCCUCCGAGGCAAACCUGGUGGACCUGCAGAAGAAGCUGGAGGAGCUAGAACUUGACGAGCAGCAGAAGAAGCGACUGGAAGCCUUUCUCACCCAGAAAGCCAAGGUCGGCGAACUCAAAGACGAUGACUUCGAAAGGAUCUCAGAGCUGGGCGCGGGCAACGGCGGGGUGGUCACCAAAGUCCAGCACAGACCCUCAGGCCUCAUCAUGGCCAGGAAGCUGAUCCACCUUGAGAUCAAGCCGGCCAUCCGGAACCAGAUCAUCCGCGAGCUGCAGGUCCUGCACGAGUGCAACUCGCCGUACAUCGUGGGCUUCUACGGGGCCUUCUACAGCGAUGGGGAGAUCAGCAUCUGCAUGGAGCACAUGAAGAGACGCACGCCAGACGGUGGCAGUGGGAACUCGGCCCGUCACCCCUACUGUCCUGGGGGUGGCCUGGCAGGAUGGCGGCUCCCUGGACCAGGUGCUGAAAGAGGCCAAGAGGAUUCCCGAGGAGAUCCUGGGGAAAGUCAGCAUCGCGGUUCUCCGGGGCUUGGCGUACCUCCGAGAGAAGCACCAGAUCAUGCACCGAGAUGUGAAGCCCUCCAACAUCCUCGUGAACUCUAGAGGGGAGAUCAAGCUGUGUGACUUUGGGGUGAGCGGCCA